GGCACAAGCUGUUAACUAAAUUUUUCUUUCAUUAUCCGCGAAUCCACGCGCGGCUUGGGCCUUGGUCCGUGACCAUUUUUUAUCUCUUUUCUUUUCUAGGUUCUCAAAAAGAACAAAAUGGUCCAACGAUUGACAUACAGAAGACGAUUGUCGUACAACACGAAAAGCAACAGAAGGCGUGUUGUUCGUACACCAGGUGGUAAAUUGGUUUACCAAUACUU
Aphidius gifuensis is the source of this 221-nucleotide long non-coding RNA. RefSeq lists it as uncharacterized. The record is from RefSeq and is a predicted model, not a curated record. The transcript is spliced from 3 exons. Lineage: Eukaryota; Metazoa; Arthropoda; Insecta; Hymenoptera; Braconidae.